UGCUGUUCGAGGUCCUUUGUGCUCGGCCUGCCUUGAACCCCACUCUUGCAAAGGAAGAAGUUAGCUUGGCAGAGUGGGCACUGCACUGCCAAAAGAAGGGAAUUCUUGAUCAGAUUGUUGAUCCCUACCUGAAGGGAAAGAUUGUUCCGCAGUGCUUCAAGAAGUUUGCCGAGACGGCUGAGAAGUGUGUUGCCGACAAUGGCAUCGAGCGCCCUUCGAUGGGAGAUGUGCUUUGGAACUUGGAGUUUGCUCUUCAGAUGCAGGAAAGCGCGGAGGAGAGUGGAAGCAUUGGGUGCGGGAUGUCAGAUGAGGGCACUCCCCUCGUGAUGGUUGGAAAGAAGGAUCCCAAUGACCCAUCAAUUGAUUCCAGCACCACUACGACCACAACAACUUCCCUAAGCAUGGGUGACCAAAGUGUCGCGAGCAUCGAUUCGGAUGGGCUGACGCCGAGCGCGGUGUUCUCACAGAUCAUGAACCCCAAGGGGCGGUGAGGUAAAAAUCUGGGUCUGCUUUUCAGUCAGUCACCGUUGGGGCCUGCCUAAUUUAUUCAUUCAGCAUAUUUUCAUGAGUUUGUGCUCUUGCUGUCUCGCAAGUUAUGCAUUAGAAGUCAGAGAAUUGUUCCAUAUUAGAUAUUUCUGUCUUGCCUUGUUUUUUUUACUUCUUCCUCUUCUUCAGUGUUGUAAUGACUCUAUGCUUAUUUGCAUGUUGUUAUUGUACCACCACUGCUAUGUGUUAUUGACCCAACAUAUAAUACUGUAUGAGAAAGAUAGAGUGAUGUGCG
This 781-nucleotide long non-coding RNA is filed under the name Triticum aestivum (bread wheat). Its description in RNAcentral is "long non-coding RNA (TAES_LNC001338)". The record is from RNAcentral. Lineage: Eukaryota; Viridiplantae; Streptophyta; Magnoliopsida; Poales; Poaceae.